GGAGGCAGCAGUAGGGAAUCUUCCGCAAUGGACGAAAGUCUGACGGAGCAACGCCGCGUGAGUGAUGAAGGCUUUCGGGUUGUAAAACUCUGUUGUUAGGGAAGAACAAGUGCUAGUUGAAUAAGCUGGCCCCUUGACGGUACCUAACCAGAAAGCCACGGCUAACUACGUGCCAGCAGCCGCGGUAAUACGUAGGUGGCAAGCGUUAUCCGGAAUUAUUGGGCGUAAAGCGCGCGCAGGUGGUUUCUUAAGUUUGAUGUGAAAGCCCACGGGUCAACCGUGGAGGGUCAUUGGAAACUGGGAGACUUGAGUGCAGAAGAGGAAAGUGGAAUUCCAUGUGUAGCGGUGAAAUGCGUAGAGAUAUGGAGGAACACCAGUGGCGAAGGCGACUUUCUGGUCUGUAACUGACACUGAGGCGCGAAAGCGUGGGGAGCAAACAGGAUUAGAUACCCUGGUAGUCCACGCCGUAAACGAUGAGUGCUAAGUG
RNAcentral lists this ribosomal RNA (487 nucleotides) under Bacillus thuringiensis. Its description in RNAcentral is "bacterial SSU rRNA". It matches the Rfam family "Bacterial small subunit ribosomal RNA", at positions 344 to 822 of the family's 1533-position model. The record is from RNAcentral. Lineage: Bacteria; Bacillati; Bacillota; Bacilli; Caryophanales; Bacillaceae.